UAAUACGUAGGCAGCAAGCGUUGUUCGGAGUUACUGGGCGUAAAGGGUGUGUAGGUGGCCUGUUAAGUUCCGUGUGAAAUCUCCCGGCUCAACCGGGAGGGUGCGCGGAAAACUGGCGGGCUAGAGUACGGGAUGGGAGAGUAGAAUUCCUGGUGUAGCGGUGAAAUGCGUAGAUAUCAGGAGGAAUACCGGUGGUGUAGACGGCUCUCUGGACCGUAACUGACACUGAGACACGAAAGCGUGGGUAGCAAACAGGAUUAGAUACCCUGGUAGUCCACGCCCUAAACGAUGCAUAUUUGGUGUAGGCAGUUCAUUCUGUCUGUGCCGGAGCUAACGCGUUAAAUAUGCCGCCUGGGGAGUACAGUCGCAAGGCUG
RNAcentral lists this ribosomal RNA (375 nucleotides) under uncultured bacterium. Its description in RNAcentral is "bacterial SSU rRNA". It matches the Rfam family "Bacterial small subunit ribosomal RNA", at positions 521 to 896 of the family's 1533-position model. The record is from RNAcentral.